RNAcentral lists this ribosomal RNA (509 nucleotides) under uncultured bacterium. RNAcentral describes it as "bacterial SSU rRNA". It matches the Rfam family "Bacterial small subunit ribosomal RNA", at positions 8 to 526 of the family's 1533-position model. The record is from RNAcentral.
AGGGUUUGAUUAUGGCUCAGGACGAACGCUGGCGGUGCGCCUUAUGCAUGCAAGUUGAGCGAAGCUUUUUGGUAGUUUACUACUAGAAAUGACUGAGCGGCGAACGGGUGAGUAACGCGUGAGCAAUCUACCUUAGUUACUGGGAUAGCCCGAGGAAACUCGGAUUAAUACCGGAUAUUCUUAUUUUUUCACAUGAAGUUUUAAGGAAAGGUCAGCCGAACUAAGAUGAGCUCGCGUUCUAUCAGCUAGUUGGUGGGGUAAAAGCCUACCAAGGCUACGACGGAUAGCUGGUCUGAGAGGACGAUCAGCCACACUGGGACUGAGACACGGCCCAGACUCCUACGGGAGGCUGCAGCAGGGAAUAUUGUGCAAUGAGCGAAAGCUUGACACAGCGACACCGCGUGUGGGAUGACGGUUCUAGGAUUGUAAACCACUUUCAGGAGGGAAGAAAAUGACGGUACCUCCACAAGAAGACCCGGCCAACUAUGUGCCAGCCGCCGCGGUAAUUC